RNAcentral lists this ribosomal RNA (254 nucleotides) under uncultured bacterium. Its description in RNAcentral is "partial 16S ribosomal RNA". It matches the Rfam family "Bacterial small subunit ribosomal RNA", at positions 524 to 776 of the family's 1533-position model. The record is from RNAcentral.
UACGGAGGGUGCGAGCGUUGUCCGGAAUCACUGGGCGUAAAGGGCGCGUAGGUGGCCUGUGGAAGUCUGCGGUGAAAGCCCGGCGCUCAACGCCGGGUCGGCCGUGGAUACUCUCGGGCUCGAGCUUACUAGAGGCAGAUGGAAUUCCCGGUGUAGUGGUGGAAUGCGUAGAUAUCGGGAGGAACACCAGUGGCGAAGGCGGUUGCCUGGGGCUUUGCUGACGCUGAUGCGCGAAAGCGUGGGGAGCGAUCCGG